AGAGUUUGAUCCUGGCUCAGAAUGAACGCUGGCGGCGUGCUUUACACAUGCAAGUCGAGCGAGGCGUCCCGCAAGGGAUAGUCGAGCGGCGAACGGGUGAGUAACGCGUGGAUAACCUGCCCUGAGGUGUGGAACAACCAGGGGAAACUCUGGCUAAUACCGCAUGAUAUCGAGAGAUCAAAGGGGGCUCGCAAGAGCUCUCGCCACAGGAGGGGUCCGCGUCCGAUUAGCUAGUUGGUAGGGUAAUGGCCUACCAAGGCGACGAUCGGUAGCCGGCCUGAGAGGGUGAUCGGCCACACUGGAACUGAGACACGGUCCAGACUCCUACGGGAGGCAGCAGUGGGGAAUUUUGCGCAAUGGGCUAACGCCUGACGCAGCAACGCCGCGUGGAGGAUGAAGGUCUUUGGAUUGUAAACUCCUGUCAGCGGGGAAAAAGCGACUCGUGCUCAUACCACGGGGAGUUGAUUGUACCCGCAGAGGAAGCCCCGGCUAACUCUGUGCCAGCAGCCGCGGUAAUACAGAGGGGGCAAGCGUUAUUCGGAAUUAUUGGGCGUAAAGGGCGCGUAGGCGGCUUGGCAAGUGGAAGGUGGAAUCCCUCGGCUUAACCGAGGAACUGCCCUCCAAACUGCUUUGCUUGAGGCCGGGAGAGGCGAGUGGAAUUCCCAGUGUAGCGGUGAAAUGCGUAGAUAUUGGGAGGAACACCAGUGGCGAAGGCGGCUCGCUGGACCGGUUCUGACGCUGAUGCGCGAAAGCGUGGGGAGCAAACGGGAUUAGAUACCCCGGUAGUCCACGCUGUAAACGAUGAGUGCUUGGUGUAGCGGGUAUCGACCCCUGCUGUGCCGAGGUCAACACAUUAAGCACUCCGCCUGGGGAGUACGGUCGCAAGGCUGAAACUCAAAGGAAUUGACGGGGGCCCGCACAAGCGGUGGAGCAUGU
RNAcentral lists this ribosomal RNA (936 nucleotides) under uncultured bacterium. Its description in RNAcentral is "bacterial SSU rRNA". It matches the Rfam family "Bacterial small subunit ribosomal RNA", at positions 8 to 942 of the family's 1533-position model. The record is from RNAcentral.